GACGAACGCUGGCGGCGUGCUUAACACAUGCAAGUCGAACGAUGUAGCCUAGCUUGCUAGGUGGAUUAGUGGCGAACGGGUGAGUAAUACGUGAGUGACCUACCUUUGACUCUGGGAUAAGCCUGGGAAACUGGGUCUAAUACCGGAUACGACCAAUCUCCGCAUGGGGUGUUGGUGGAAAGCGUUAUGGAGUGGUUUUAGAUGGGCUCACGGCCUAUCAGCUUGUUGGCGAGGUAAUGGCUUACCAAGGCGACGACGGGUAGCCGGCCUGAGAGGGUGACCGGCCACACUGGGACUGAGACACGGCCCAGACUCCUACGGGAGGCAGCAGUGGGGAAUAUUGCACAAUGGGCGCAAGCCUGAUGCAGCGACGCCGCGUGAGGGAUGACGGCCUUCGGGUUGUAAACCUCUGUUAGCAUCGAAGAAGCGAAAGUGACGGUAGGUGCAGAGAAAGCGCCGGCUAACUACGUG
RNAcentral lists this ribosomal RNA (471 nucleotides) under uncultured bacterium. RNAcentral's name for it is "partial 16S ribosomal RNA". It matches the Rfam family "Bacterial small subunit ribosomal RNA", at positions 28 to 507 of the family's 1533-position model. The record is from RNAcentral.